Long non-coding RNA from Nymphaea colorata (pocket water lily), 1945 nucleotides. RefSeq lists it as uncharacterized. The record is from RefSeq and is a predicted model, not a curated record. Lineage: Eukaryota; Viridiplantae; Streptophyta; Magnoliopsida; Nymphaeales; Nymphaeaceae. The transcript is spliced from 3 exons.
UCGUAUGUUUAAACGAGCUGCUUAUUUAGUUAAACGAGUCGAGCUCGAGUUGACGAGCCGACUCGUUUAAUUAAUCGAGUCGAGUUCGAGUUCAUGUGAGGGAACUCGUUAAACUCGAAUCGGCUCGAUUAUUUAGUAAACCAGUUUUUUUAAAACCGGUUCAAAAUCAAGAUGAGAAAGCGCCAAGGCGGGAAGAAUUUUAGGGUUUCUCAUAUCAUUUCCUUUUUGCGUUUUCGCUCUCUCCUCUCCGAGUCCGACUCUCCCUCUCUCCGUCUCUCGCCUGACGCCUCUCUCCCCCUCGCGCAACUCUCCCGACGAUUACCACGUCGUCUCCUCAUCAGUCAUCCCUUCACGAGAAAAAUCGAGGUGCUCCGCAAGAAUGGAUGCACUCUGGUAGGUGAGUUCGCUUUUUCUGCUACUGGAGUUCCCUUUUAUUUUUGAACCUCAUACUUGUGAUCACGUGGGGAUCAUCUGGAUUUCUUGUUUGAAAAGUUUAAAGGUCGGUAAUGACGUUGAACGCGGUUGAAUUUCUUGGUCAGUAACACUAGUAGGGUUAUUUUUUGUUUGAUUAGUGCACUUAGAUUAUUUGCACGUGCAAGUGUGUUGCUCUCUUUGCUGCCUAAGUUGAUAAACAAAAUUCUAGAACGUGGAAAUCUGAUUUCCUCGUUUGUGUUGGAAAGUGGGAGAAGCUGGAAGAUGACAUUCGACCGUAAUGCUACUCCAAAUUAACCAGUUGGUCCGUUAAAUCCCACUCCCCAAAAUGCUGAUUAGUUUUCCAGAUUGGUUCACUCUUCAUGUUUUAUCUUGAAUGUUUCCAGAUCCUUCAUGUUUGUUUUUCUGAAGAAUGAUUUAAUCUUAUGCUGAUAGUCUUUUAGGCGAGGAAAAAAGGGGAAAAUCCUUAUCGGCAUCUGACAGGUAGGAAUUGAUUUAAAGAACUGGGUUUCUCUUAAAGCUGCAUUGUGAGUUGUUGAACUGCUUAAAAUUCAUGAGAAAGAUCAUAAGCACACUUAAAGUUUGGUUCAUCAGUUAGUAAGGAACAUUCUUAUGUAUUAGAAGCAUCACCAAGGUGUUUUCUGCAAGCAUUUUUUUGUUCUUGUCCUGCUGCUGUUGACAUUUAUCUAUCUUUUUUUUUGUUCUUGUCCUGCUGCUGUUGACAUUUAUCUGUCACCAAGGUGUUUUCUUGAUUUUUUGGUGAGGUGUACUCACUCUGAUGAGAAUAGCAACAAUCUUCUCGACAAGUUGCAAGAUGCAUUUGGGAGAGGCCAGAACCCUUCCUCUGUUCUUCCCAUGAUUUCAGCUGAGCUUGCAACACUAACAAUAGCUUGAAAAAGAUUCAACUAAGGAUUGGAACAGUAAGAGAAACCCAGUUCUCUGCUAGUUGAGUAGUUUCUGCUCAUGGGUUCAUUUUUACAUUUCUUGCUAUUGGGAUCGUAGUAUGCUUCUGCACACUCUGUGGGCAUGUGGUAGCCAACAACAUCAACGUCCUCCUUCUUACUUUCGUAUCCUUUAUUGCUGAUAUAGAAAAGUUGGCAAACUUCUGUGCUUUUUCCUCUGUUCCCGCUUAGAGCAGAUCAAGCAUCAUAGGGAGUAUCUGCAUAUAACAUCUAUUACAGUUGGCAUGUGUUUCUCAAAGGCACUUAUUUGGAACCAUCUCGUGGUUUCACUUGAUUGCUGCUCGUAAUAGCUACCAAGGAGAUUCCCCAAGUGUAUUUCCCUUCUAGAUGCUAUUCAUUAUAAAACUUCUGUGGCAAUCUGAUUACAGGGACGCAUUUGAAAGGAGCCAUAUGUGCACAGGUGGGAUUUGAAACUGUAUUGGUCUUCGGGUUUGUUUCUACAACUAUUUGAACAAAAUAUGUCAAUGACAAAUUGUUGAUUUGUUGCCUUUUAGGACUCUAACCUGUAUAGCAUGGAUAAUGAUAAAAAGUUCACUUCUAAUGUUGUUUUU